GAUGAACGCUGGCGGCGUGCCUAAUACAUGCAAGUCGAGCGAAUGGAUUAAGAGCUUGCUCUUAUGAAGUUAGCGGCGGACGGGUGAGUAACACGUGGGUAACCUGCCCAUAAGACUAGGAUAACUCCGGGAAACCGGGGCUAAUACCGGAUAACAUUUUGAACCGCAUGGUUCGAAAUUGAAGGCGGCUUCGGCUGUCACUUAUGGAUUGGCCCGCGUCGCAUUAGCUAGUUGGUGAGGUAACGGCUCACCAAGGCAACGAUGCGUAGCCGACCUGAGAGGGUGAUCGGCCACACUGGGACUGAGACACGGCCCAGACUCCUACGGGAGGCAGCAGUAGGGAAUCUUCCGCAAUGGACGAAAGUCUGACGGAGCAACGCCGCGUGAGUGAUGAAGGCUUUCGGGUCGUAAAACUCUGUUGUUAGGGAAGAACAAGUGCUAGUUGAAUAAGCUGGCACCUUGACGGUACCUAACCAGAAAGCCACGGCUAACUACGUGCCAGCAGCCGCCGUAA
RNAcentral lists this ribosomal RNA (514 nucleotides) under uncultured bacterium. RNAcentral describes it as "partial 16S ribosomal RNA". It matches the Rfam family "Bacterial small subunit ribosomal RNA", at positions 28 to 523 of the family's 1533-position model. The record is from RNAcentral.